This 492-nucleotide ribosomal RNA is filed under the name uncultured bacterium. RNAcentral's name for it is "partial 16S ribosomal RNA". It matches the Rfam family "Bacterial small subunit ribosomal RNA", at positions 29 to 507 of the family's 1533-position model. The record is from RNAcentral.
AGUGAACGCUGGCGGUAGGCCUAACACAUGCAAGUCGAACGGCAGCACAGUAAGAGCUUGCUCUUACGGGUGGCGAGUGGCGGACGGGUGAGGAAUACAUCGGAAUCUACUUUUUCGUGGGGGAUAACGUAGGGAAACUUACGCUAAUACCGCAUACGACCUACGGGUGAAAGCAGGGGAUCUUCGGACCUUGCGCGAUUGAAUGAGCCGAUGUCGGAUUAGCUAGUUGGCGGGGUAAAGGCCCACCAAGGCGACGAUCCGUAGCUGAUCUGAGAGGAUGAUCAGCCAAACUGGAACCGAGACAAGGUCCAGACUCCUAAGGGAGGGAGCAGUGGGGAAUAUUGGACAAUGGGGGCAAGCCUGAUCCAGCCAUACCGCGUGGGUGAAGAAGGCCUUCGGGUUGUAAAGCCCUUUUGUUGGGAAAGAAAAGCAGCAGGUUAAUACCCCGCUGUUCUGACGGUACCCAAAGAAUAAGCACCGGCUAACUUCGUG